UACGUAGGGGGCAGGCGUUGUCCGGAUUUACUGGGCGUAAAGAGCGUGUAGGCGGCCAAGCAGGUCCGUUGUGAAAACUGGAGGCUUAACCUCCAGACGUCGAUGGAAACCGUAUGGCUAGAGUCCGGAAGAGGAGAGUGGAAUUCCUGGUGUAGCGGUGAAAUGCGCAGAUAUCAGGAAGAACACCCGUGGCGAAGGCGGCUCUCUGGGACGGUACUGACGCUGAGACGCGAAAGCGUGGGGAGCGAACAGG
RNAcentral lists this ribosomal RNA (253 nucleotides) under uncultured bacterium. Its description in RNAcentral is "partial 16S ribosomal RNA". It matches the Rfam family "Bacterial small subunit ribosomal RNA", at positions 524 to 776 of the family's 1533-position model. The record is from RNAcentral.